AUGGAGAAGAUUGAAUGUUCUACCAGUCUGCCAUCACGUCUCGGUUGCAAAAAAAACACACAUCACGUCUCCAACUUCAACCAUAGCGCCCCCUCCCCCAGCCGCCACAGAACUCCUCCCUAUUCCCAUCGCCGCCACCGCCGCCUGUCGUUCCUCCUCUGCUAUCGAGGGCGCGAGCGAACGGAACCAACCACCGAAGUAACCGGAGCGGAAAACAGCGGUGGAAUGGGGAGAUGGCGUUUGCGGCGGCGGGGGAGGAGACGGGGCGGGCGUCCUACAUCCGGGAAGGAUCCCAAGGGCCGGGUCAUCUCCGCCACAACGCGCACCGAUGUCGCGGCGCGCCUCGGCGAGCUUCGCGACCAGAUCCUCGCCCGCCGCGCCUCCUUCACCAACCUCGCCGCCCAACACUCCGGCUGCUCCUCCGUGCACGCGGCAGCGACCUAG
This 444-nucleotide ribosomal RNA is filed under the name Triticum aestivum (bread wheat). RNAcentral's name for it is "partial small subunit ribosomal RNA". The record is from RNAcentral. Lineage: Eukaryota; Viridiplantae; Streptophyta; Magnoliopsida; Poales; Poaceae.